This is a long non-coding RNA of Etheostoma cragini (Arkansas darter), 776 nucleotides long. RefSeq lists it as uncharacterized. The transcript has 7 exons. The record is from RefSeq and is a predicted model, not a curated record. NCBI's taxonomy places the organism in Eukaryota, Metazoa, Chordata, Actinopteri, Perciformes, Percidae.
AGAAUUGGUCUCAUCAAGAUGAUGGAACGUCAAGAAGGAGACUUGUGAGCUGCCUAAGGAUGUCACACUGCACUUUCUAUGGUCCUAACAGCUGACUGAAGGUGGUUCAUUUCCAGCAGCUGAAAAGACUUGUGAGCUGCAAAAGAUGUCACCAUGCAGCCCUCUGUAUGGUCCAAACCAGCUGAUGUUCAUUUCAUGCAGACUUGGGAGCUGCCAAAGGAUGUCACACAGCUGACUGAAGAUGGUUCAUUUCCAGCAGAUUCACAUGGUGGCAUGAGAUUUCUCCUGAAAGAAAAUUACUCACAGGGCACUGCCACGCCGUUUUAAGAUGGGCCUUGUGUCGUUCUGGUCUGCUGCAGUCCCUGAAGUUUGGGGACUGAGAUAAAAGGUAGCCUUUCAGCUUGAAUACAAUGGCAGUCUAUCGUUAAGAUGAAACCCAAACUGAAAUAGCUGGAAUUACCGUCAGACUGUUAGUGGUGACUCUUAGUUUUCUGAACAUUAGAUAGCAGCAUCAUGCAGUACACUUGAAGGAAAUAAUUUGCUGACUGAUUUUAUUAUCUUGCAGAAUUGGAUCAAGUGGUUGCACGUCAGCUGUCCGUAUAUCUGCAAGCUACAUGUGGCUUAUCUGGCUGACUCUCCUUCAGAUGACUCAUGGACACUGGUUCUCAAGAUGGAUGUCAAGUACUUUUGAAAAGUACUUACCACUGUACAAUGCAGACUGGUUACUGGUCAUGUUAUGAUUGCAAUAAAGUCUCUAAGCAGCCCGACUGAAACAA